CGUCUGCUGGUAAAGUGUUGUGGGCGACUGCAGGUCGAUCGUGGCGGUCAGUGCGCCGUUGACGUAAACGCCCA
RNAcentral lists this transfer RNA (74 nucleotides) under freshwater metagenome. RNAcentral's name for it is "tRNA-Cys". The record is from RNAcentral.